RNAcentral lists this ribosomal RNA (516 nucleotides) under uncultured bacterium. RNAcentral describes it as "bacterial SSU rRNA". It matches the Rfam family "Bacterial small subunit ribosomal RNA", at positions 28 to 526 of the family's 1533-position model. The record is from RNAcentral.
GACGAACGCUGGCGGCGUGCCUAAUACAUGCAAGUCGAGCGGAUCUCAGGGAGCUUGCUCCCUGAGAUCAGCGGCGGACGGGUGAGUAACACGUGGGUAACCUGCCUGUAAGACUGGGAUAACUCCGGGAAACCGGGGCUAAUACCGGAUAACACUUACCCCCGCAUGGGGGAAGGUUGAAAGGUGGCUUCGGCUAUCACUUACAGAUGGACCCGCGGCGCAUUAGCUAGUUGGUGAGGUAACGGCUCACCAAGGCGACGAUGCGUAGCCGACCUGAGAGGGUGAUCGGCCACACUGGGACUGAGACACGGCCCAGACUCCUACGGGAGGCAGCAGUAGGGAAUCUUCCGCAAUGGACGAAAGUCUGACGGAGCAACGCCGCGUGAGUGAAGAAGGUUUUCGGAUCGUAAAACUCUGUUGUUAGGGAAGAACAAGUGCCGUUCGAAUAGGGCGGCACCUUGACGGUACCUAACCAGAAAGCCACGGCUAACUACGUGCCAGCCGCCGCCGUAACAC